This 567-nucleotide ribosomal RNA is filed under the name uncultured bacterium. RNAcentral's name for it is "bacterial SSU rRNA". It matches the Rfam family "Bacterial small subunit ribosomal RNA", at positions 8 to 557 of the family's 1533-position model. The record is from RNAcentral.
AGAGUUUGAUUCUGGCUCAGGAUGAACGCUAGCGACAGGCUUAACACAUGCAAGUCGAGGGGCAGCGGGGCGGCAGGCUUGCCUGCCGUUGCCGGCGACCGGCGCACGGGUGAGUAACACGUAUGCAACCUGCCCGUGGCAGGGGGAUAAGCGGGGGAAACCCCGUCUAAUACCGCGUAACGCGGCCUAGGGACAUCCCAAGGCCGCCAAAGGGAGCAAUCCCGGCCACGGAUGGGCAUGCGGCGCAUUAGCUAGUCGGCGGGGUAACGGCCCACCGAGGCGACGAUGCGUAGGGGUUCUGAGAGGAAGGCCCCCCACACUGGUACUGAGACACGGACCAGACUCCUACGGGAGGCAGCAGUGAGGAAUAUUGGUCAAUGGGCGCGAGCCUGAACCAGCCAAGUCGCGUGAGGGAGGACGGCCCUACGGGUUGUAAACCUCUUUUGCCGGGGAGCAACGGGCGCCACGUGUGGCGCCACUGAGAGUACCCGGAGAAAAAGCAUCGGCUAACUCCGUGCCAGCAGCCGCGGUAAUACGGAGGAUGCGAGCGUUAUCCGGAUUUAUUGG